CAUCGCGGUGGCGGAGCGUCGUUUGCGACGCCCAACACACAAAACAAGCGGUGAGUGCUUUGGGGUGGGGUGACUGCGUACCUUUUGUAUAAUGGGUCAGCGACUUAUAUUCUGUAGCAAGGUUAACCGUAUAGGGGAGCCGAAGGGAAACCGAGUCUUAACUGGGCGUUAAGUUGCAGGGUAUAGACCCGAAACCCGGUGAUCUAGCCAUGGGCAGGUUGAAGGUUGGGUAACACUAACUGGAGGACCGAACCGACUAAUGUUGAAAAAUUAGCGGAUGACUUGUGGCUGGGGGUGAAAGGCCAAUCAAACCGGGAGAUAGCUGGUUCUCCCCGAAAGCUAUUUAGGUAGCGCCUCGUGAACUCAUCUUCGGGGGUAGAGCACUGUUUCGGCUAGGGGGUCAUCCCGACUUACCAACCCGAUGCAAACUGCGAAUACCGAAGAAUGUUAUCACGGGAGACACACGGCGGGUGCUAACGUCCGUCGUGAAGAGGGAAACAACCCAGACCGCCAGCUAAGGUCCCAAAGUCACAGUUAAGUGGGAAACGAUGUGGGAAGGCUCAGACAGCCAGGAUGUUGGCUUAGAAGCAGCCAUCAUUUAAAGAAAGCGUAAUAGCUCACUGGUCGAGUCGGCCUGCGCGGAAGAUGUAACGGGGCUAAACUGUGCACCGAAGCUGCGGCAGCGACGCUUAUGCGUUGUUGGGUAGGGGAGCGUUCUGUAAGCCUGCGAAGGUGUCCUGUGAGGGAUGCUGGAGGUAUCAGAAGUGCGAAUGCUGACAUAAGUAACGAUAA
RNAcentral lists this ribosomal RNA (792 nucleotides) under Salmonella enterica subsp. enterica serovar Kentucky. Its description in RNAcentral is "partial 23S ribosomal RNA". It matches the Rfam family "Bacterial large subunit ribosomal RNA", at positions 566 to 1315 of the family's 2925-position model. Lineage: Bacteria; Pseudomonadati; Pseudomonadota; Gammaproteobacteria; Enterobacterales; Enterobacteriaceae. The record is from RNAcentral.